GAACGCGAAGAACCUUACCCGGGCUUGAAUUGCAGAGGAAGGAUUUAGAGAUAAUGACGCCCUUCGGGGUCUCUGUGAAGGUGCUGCAUGGUUGUCGUCAGCUCGUGCCGUGAGGUGUCGGCUUAAGUGCCAUAACGAGCGCAACCCCUCUCUUCAGUUGCCAUCAGGUAGUGCUGGGCACUCUGGAGACACUGCCACCGUAAGGUGUGAGGAAGGUGGGGAUGACGUCAAAUCAGCACGGCCCUUACGUCCGGGGCUACACACGUGUUACAAUGGCCGGUACAGAGGGAUGGUGUAAUGCAAAUUGCAUCAAAUCUUGAAAGCCGGUCCCAGUUCGGACUGGGGUCUGCAACCCGACCCCACGAAGCUGGAUUCGCUAGUAAUCGCGCAUCAGCCAUGGCGCGGUGAAUACGUUCCCGGGUCUUGUACACACC
This 434-nucleotide ribosomal RNA is filed under the name uncultured bacterium. RNAcentral describes it as "bacterial SSU rRNA". It matches the Rfam family "Bacterial small subunit ribosomal RNA", at positions 957 to 1391 of the family's 1533-position model. The record is from RNAcentral.